This 744-nucleotide ribosomal RNA is filed under the name Triticum aestivum (bread wheat). RNAcentral's name for it is "partial small subunit ribosomal RNA". Lineage: Eukaryota; Viridiplantae; Streptophyta; Magnoliopsida; Poales; Poaceae. The record is from RNAcentral.
AUGGUUGGCCAAAUGCAGAUAUCUUGGCCAUCCACGAUUGUAGAGCUCAUCUUGGGCCUGCUAUGGCACCUCGUCCACCUGUUGGUCAGCCUCUUUGAUUUGUGGUCGCAUCUGAGUGAUAAUCUAGAAUGCUAUCUUAUUUCGUCUGAGCUGCUGCCUAAGUACCAAGAUCUUCAUUUUGAGAGACUUAAUUACGUGGGCGUUGUAGUAGAUAGCAGAGAAGCAAAUAAUGUUUUGAAGAUCAAGCAACUUUUAUGGUGGUUAUCGACUAUUGGCGUCAAGUAUGUAGUUCUCUAUGACAUUGAAGGAGUACUGAAGGAAUGGCUUAAACCUGGUAUCGAAACCCCAAGAGAUGAGAACUCAAGAACUAACUUAGAUCUUAGUGCACAUGGGGGGAUGACUAUAGAGUGUCUUUCUGGUUCUGAUGGCAAGGAAGGCAUUGCUAAAGCAGCAAACUUACUGUGCUCAGACUUCUGCAAUCGCAACACUCAUGGGCAUAAUAAAGGUGACAAUGCAUUUACAGAAGCUGACAUGGUUUGUGCACUGAGAGCAGUAGGUAGUGGUGGGCCAGAACCUGAUCUUCUUCUUGUGUAUGGUCCUGUUAGAUGUCAUUUAGGAUUUCCUGCAUGGAGAUUACGUUUCACAGAGAUUAUGCAUAUGGGCUCGCUGAAAUCAAUGAAAUACGGUUCUAUUGUGAAAGCUUUGCAUCGAUUCUCACACAAAUAUCAAAAUUAUGGUAAAUGA